GGGUUUGUUGCAGGUAGGUCUUGCUUGACCAAUCUUGUUACCUUUUAUGACCAGGUGACCUAUCACCAGGACAAGGGGGAAGAGUUUGAUAUCAUAUAUCUUCACUU
Molecule: long non-coding RNA, 107 nt
Organism: Gavialis gangeticus (Gharial)
Lineage: Eukaryota; Metazoa; Chordata; Crocodylia; Gavialidae
Exons: 2
Source: RefSeq, a predicted model, not a curated record